Molecule: long non-coding RNA, 303 nt
Filed under: Pelobates cultripes (western spadefoot toad)
Lineage: Eukaryota; Metazoa; Chordata; Amphibia; Anura; Pelobatidae
Source: RNAcentral
CCUAGAUCUCAUUAGAGGCCACUGGGAGGGGGAGACGGAGCAAGAGGGGACCCCCAUUGUGCCAUAUGUUCUGGAACUCCGGGACCGCAUGGAGAAACUGUCCCUGAUGGUAAGGGAGAAUCUCCAGGUGGCCCAGGGGAGACAGAAAAGAUGGUACGAUCAGGGUGCCCGACAGCGGGUCUUCCAGGUUGGGCAAAAGGUAUUGGUGCUCAAACCUGUGAAGGCCAACAAGAUGCAAGCAUCUUGGCAGGGCCCGUACAAGGUAGUGGCGCAGAUCUGCGACACUACUUACUUGAUAGCUAG